This 412-nucleotide ribosomal RNA is filed under the name Acanthamoeba genotype T4. RNAcentral's name for it is "SSU rRNA". The stretch from base 1 to 357 matches the Rfam family "Eukaryotic small subunit ribosomal RNA", at positions 776 to 1114 of the family's 1831-position model. Lineage: Eukaryota; Discosea; Longamoebia; Acanthamoebidae. The record is from RNAcentral.
GUCAGCAGGCAGAUUCAUUUUCUGCCACCGAAUACAUUAGCAUGGGAUAAUGGAAUAGGACCCUGUCCUCCUAUUUUCAGUUGGUUUUGGCAGCGCGAGGACUAGGGUAAUGAUUAAUAGGGAUAGUUGGGGGCAUUAAUAUUUAAUUGUCAGAGGUGAAAUUCUUGGAUUUAUGAAAGAUUAACUUCUGCGAAAGCAUCUGCCAAGGAUGUUUUCAUUAAUCAAGAACGAAAGUUAGGGGAUCGAAGACGAUCAGAUACCGUCGUAGUCUUAACCAUAAACGAUGCCGACCAGCGAUUAGGAGACGUUGAAUACAAAACACCACCAUCGGCGCGGUCGUCCUUGGCGUUCGUGUUCACGCACGAGCGCGAGGGCGGUUUAGCCCGAUGGCACCGGUGAAUGACUCCCCUAG